This 569-nucleotide long non-coding RNA is filed under the name Pan troglodytes (chimpanzee). RNAcentral describes it as "long non-coding RNA NONPTRT016296". The record is from RNAcentral. Lineage: Eukaryota; Metazoa; Chordata; Mammalia; Primates; Hominidae.
UUGUGCAGCACAGGACCCAAAUACAGGCUGGUGUCCCACUUGGUUGAUUGGGUAGUGGUCUACUUGAUAAAUUUUCAUAAGCUGCUAUCCCUUGUGAGGAGGCACACACUUUCACUUAAACCGUCUCCAAACUCGGCUCCUGGCUUUGAGGAUAAAAGUUUAAGUUUACUUUUGAGUCUUAUAAUAUUUCACACAAACUCCAUCAUAGAGGUAGAAUAUACUUCUCUAAAAUAGUCCUCAGGCUCACAUUCAGAUUCAAAGAUAUCUAUGAUCAGUCUUAUUUUGUGAUGUUAGCUAUAAAAUUAACAUUAAAGGUGUCAUUUCUACCCCAAUAAAUUGAUAAUGAUUCAGCAUGGCUUUCUACCUACACUCAUGGCUUGGACAUGCCACUGAAAAUUUAAACCAUCAUCUCUGUCCAUUUCCCAUUCUACAAGUAUCUUGGAUUUUCAGCUUUAAAAGUUCAUAAGGUUGAGUAUUUAGUUUUACUUGCCGUGAGUAAUGAACUGUAGAACUCUUCGGGAUUCCUUUAGGUCAUUUUUAAGUUACUAAUAUCUUAUCUCUACAAAUAA